AGCACCCCCAAGUAGUGUGUUCACUUUCUGCUUUUCCAGAAGGACUUGAAUAUCAUAAAAAUAUACGUAAAUAAACUCUGGAAAAUUCUUAAUUAGGAUCGUGCUAAAUAAUACUUCCUGUUAUGUAUAGGAAUGUAUGUGGUAGAUAAAGCAUAAAUAUCAGGACCAAAAAAGAGUUUUGCUCCAAAGCCUUGGAACUGAUUGUUGGAGGCAUUACUAGAAGUGAUUAGACAGAAGUCUGAAGGAAGCUGAAAGUGCAGCUGAGACUGAGCUGGUGCUGUUAUUCUGAUGCCACAAUCAUGAUCAUGUCACUUGUUAACCAGUGUGCUUCUCUGAGCUCUCAAAGCCUUCCACCCAGUGAGUCACAGGGUUAGUAAGGGCCAGAUGUAGAUGGACUUUCCUCUAAGGCCUCAUGAGAGGUAUAUCCUCUUUUUCUUCUGUGCUGGGUACCUCAAACAAAGAACAAGCACAGCUUUGAAUUUUAUUGGGAAAACCCCACAAAGGAUACUCACCACAGAAUGUGAAAACAAAGAAAAUAGCCUUGACCGUGUGUGUGUGAGCAUAAUCAUCAUCCAGAGACCAUGCUGAUAAACAGUGCGAAACAAGAGGGCAGAGUACAACCGGAGGAGAUGGCAAACACUGGUUGCAUACUGCUUGUAAUGAUGCAACAGAAGCACCCCAAGAGCAAGUUUAUUGCUGCCGUCUCUCCGGCAAGAAUAAUAAAUGAGUAUCUGCAAGAUCGUGACCCGAACAGUGAAGUCAGGCAAUUUAAGAAAUUAUCACUGGAAUUGCAGAGAUACUGUAAUAAUGAAAAAACAAAUUCCAAGCAGAGAUGUCAGAAAAGCAGCAUUCAGACAAGUUAAUUGCUAAUUAAAGCUUCUCGUGUUUGGAAUAAAAAAAAUAUUUGGGAUAUUAGUAAAAACAUCCUAAUAGUAUUUGGUUUAUUUAAAUACUGGUCAUGUAAUUACUGGUUUGGGACUUAAACAUAGUCUGUUUCUUGGCAGGUUUCUGCUGCCACACUGUUUGAGUUAGAAAAGUUCAAUGGGUAAUAUUAGCUUAGCUGUGGAACUCUGAUAUUUAAUAGGAUUUUAUGGAAAUAGCUAAUAUGUGCACAUGGCAGUGACUUCUCACAGUUAAAUAUUGUCACAAAAGUGUCUUUUGAUUCCAUUCUAAUCCUUAUUUCAUUUAACAAGU
This 1194-nucleotide long non-coding RNA is filed under the name Pavo cristatus (Indian peafowl). RNAcentral's name for it is "lncRNA (ENSPSTG00000006364.1)". The record is from RNAcentral. Lineage: Eukaryota; Metazoa; Chordata; Aves; Galliformes; Phasianidae.